GGCGACGUGUUGAAACCGGAAAUCAUGCGGUGUUCCGAACGCCGCGUUGGAGGUUCAAGUCCUCCCGUCGCUGCCA
Molecule: transfer RNA, 76 nt
Filed under: Phenylobacterium soli
Lineage: Bacteria; Pseudomonadati; Pseudomonadota; Alphaproteobacteria; Caulobacterales; Caulobacteraceae
Description: Phenylobacterium sp. LX32 tRNA-Arg
Rfam family: tRNA
About the family: Transfer RNA (tRNA) molecules are approximately 80 nucleotides in length. Their secondary structure includes four short double-helical elements and three loops (D, anti-codon, and T loops).
Source: RNAcentral